GGCCUCCCUCUGUGGGGUGAUCGACCGUGGGGCUCCGUGAUCGAUCGCCCAGCAGAGGGAGGCC
Myotis lucifugus (little brown bat) is the source of this 64-nucleotide non-coding RNA. Lineage: Eukaryota; Metazoa; Chordata; Mammalia; Chiroptera; Vespertilionidae. The record is from Rfam.